AGAGUUUGAUCCCAGCUCAGGAUGAACGCUAGCGGUGCGCCUAACACAUGCAAGUCGAGCGAUCGAGCCGGACCAAACACCCUUCGGGGUGGGCGGACCGGUCACGGAGCGGCGGACUGGUGAGUAACGCGUAGCUAACCUGCCCUCUUGAUGGGGCCAACCACUCGAAAGGGUGGCUAAUACCCAAUGUUGCUCGAGGUCGAUGGACCUUUAGCCAAAGGCGGUUUUGCCGUCGCAAGGGGAGGGAGCUGCGUCCUAUUAGCUUGUUGGUGGGGUAAUGGCCUACCAAGGCGAUGAUGGGUAGCUGGUCUGAGAGGAUGGCCAGCCACAUUGGGACUGAAAUACGGCCCAGACUCCUACGGGAGGCAGCAGUGGGGAAUCUUUCGCAAUGGGCGAAAGCCUGACGGAGCGACACCGCGUGGGGGAUGAAGGUCUUCGGGUUGUAAACCCCUUUUCUGAGGGAAGAAUAAAGGCGGGAGGAAAUGCCCGCCCGAUGACGGUACCUCAGGAAUAAGCAUCGGCUAACUUCGUGCCAGCAGCCGCGGUAAGACGAAGGAUGCGAGCGUUAUCCGGAAUUACUGGGCGUAAAGGGCGUCUAGGCGGCCAGAUAUGUCACCCGUGAAAGCCCUCGGCUCAACCGAGGAAAGUCGGGUGAAACUGCUUGGCUUGGGUUCAGGAGAGGAGGGUGGAACUCACAGAGUAGCGGUGGAAUGCGUAGAUACUGUGAGGUACCCCGAUGGCGAAGGCAACCCUCCAGCCUGAUACCGACGCUGAAGCGCGAAAGCGUGGGGAGCAAAGGGGAUUAGAUACCCCCGUAGUCCACGCCCCAACCGAUGUUCACUGGGUGUCGGUCGCUAUAUAUAGAUCGGUGCCGGAGCUAACGCGUUAAGUGAACCGCCUGGGGAGUACGGCCGCAAGGCUAAAACUCAAGAGAAUUGACGGGGGCCCGCACAAGCGGUGGAGCACGUGGUUUAAUUCGAUAUAAGCGAAGAACCUCACCUGGGCUUGACAUGCUAGUGGUAGGAACCGGAAACGGGGACGACCCUGCCUUCGGGUAGGGAGCUAGCACAGGUGAUGCAUGGCUGUCGUCAGCUCGUGUCGUGGGACGUUGGGUUAAGUCCCGAAACGAGCGCAACCCCUGUCGUCAGUUGCCAGCGGGUAAUGCCGGGGACUCUGGCGAGACUGCUGGUGAAUAGCCGGAGGAAGGAGGAGAUGACGUCAAGUCAUCAUGUCCCUUAUGCUCAGGGCGACACACAUGCUACAAUGGGAGGUACAAUGGGUCGCAAUCUCGUAAGGGGGAGCCAAUCCAGAAAAACCUCUCUCAGUUCGGAUUGAGGUCUGCAACUCGACCUCAUGAAGCCGGAAUCGCUAGUAAUCGCAGGUCAGCCACACUGCGGUGAAUAUGUACUCGGGCCUUGUACACACCGCCCGUCACACCAACCGAGUGGGGGGUACCUGAAGUCGCCCUUUUGAGGGCGCCGAGGGUAACCUUCGCAAGAGGGGUGAAGUCGUAACAAGGUA
Molecule: ribosomal RNA, 1521 nt
Filed under: metagenome
Description: bacterial SSU rRNA
Rfam family: Bacterial small subunit ribosomal RNA
Source: RNAcentral